This 490-nucleotide ribosomal RNA is filed under the name uncultured bacterium. RNAcentral describes it as "partial 16S ribosomal RNA". It matches the Rfam family "Bacterial small subunit ribosomal RNA", at positions 30 to 507 of the family's 1533-position model. The record is from RNAcentral.
AUUGAACGCUGGCGGCAGGCCUAACACAUGCAAGUCGAACGGUAACAGAAAGCAGCUUGCUGCUUUGCUGACGAGUGGCGGACGGGUGAGUAAUGUCUGGGAAACUGCCUGAUGGAGGGGGAUAACUACUGGAAACGGUAGCUAAUACCGCAUAACGUCGCAAGCCCAAAGAGGGGGACCUUCGGGCCUCUUGCCAUCGGAUGUGCCCAGAUGGGAUUAGCUAGUAGGUGGGGUAAAGGCUCACCUAGGCGACGAUCCCUAGCUGGUCUGAGAGGAUGACCAGCCACACUGGAACUGAGACACGGUCCAGACUCCUACGGGAGGCAGCAGUGGGGAAUAUUGCACAAUGGGCGCAAGCCUGAUGCAGCCAUGCCGCGUGUAUGAAGAAGGCCUUCGGGUUGUAAAGUACUUUCAGCGGGGAGGAAGGGAGUAAAGUUAAUACCUUUGCUCAUUGACGUUACCCGCAGAAGAAGCACCGGCUAACUCCGUG